GUUCAAGAAUGUCUAGCCGCUCCAGCUUUGCUCUCAGCCUGUGGUGGCUCCAGUUCCUGGCAGCUUAUUAAGUUCCUAGCUCGUUUCACCUCCUAGAAACAAGGAAGCUCACUUCAUACUCUUUGAACCUGGUCUGAUCUAUCUUAGGAAACAAAUGGGAUGUGUUCGUCUAAGCCUGUCUCAGCAUCACAUGAUUUGUAGCUUUUAUGCACGGAACCCUGAGAUAACUACAAAUAUGACUGCAGGAAGUAAGGGAAGGAGUGUGCCAACGAUUGGCCACAGACACCAAAGGCAGAGGAAAAGCAGUAUUCCUCCUUCCACUGUUUGGGGGAAAAGGUUGUCUGUGAUUUGCCUGGAGAGACAAGAUACAACACCAAGAUGGAAUGCUGAGGGAAUCAGGAGCAUAAGUCUCUGGAUGCCUUAAAACUUGGGGCUUCAACCUUUUGAAAGGCUGUUCUGAGACACAAUCUAGCAAGUUGGCCAACAGAAAGACCUCUUAAGAAUGAGAGAAGCCCAGUUAAUCUAGCUGUACCAACUGAGGCAAACUCCCAACUGACUGUUGAAAUCAGAAAGGAGUCAAUUCUGGAACCACUGAGAAGAAGCCCCCAAGACAUCUACAUCCUCUAUACCUCUCAGCACAGUUGAUGGACAAGUCCACAGAAAAUGAGUCGGAAGUUCAACCCCACAGCUGC
Non-coding RNA from Peromyscus maniculatus bairdii (prairie deer mouse), 692 nucleotides. Lineage: Eukaryota; Metazoa; Chordata; Mammalia; Rodentia; Cricetidae. The record is from RefSeq and is a predicted model, not a curated record.